ACGGGAGGCAGCAGUGGGGAAUAUUGCACAAUGGGGGAAACCCUGAUGCAGCGACGCCGCGUGAGUGAAGAAGUAUUUCGGUAUGUAAAGCUCUAUCAGCAGGGAAGAUAAUGACGGUACCUGACUAAGAAGCCCCGGCUAACUACGUGCCAGCAGCCGCGGUAAUACGUAGGGGGCAAGCGUUAUCCGGAUUUACUGGGUGUAAAGGGAGCGUAGACGGUUUGGCAAGUCUGAAGUGAAAGCCCGGGGCUCAACCCCGGUAUUGCUUUGGAAACUGUUGAACUAGAGUGCCGGAGGGGUAGGCGGAAUUCCUAGUGUAGCGGUGAAAUGCGUAGAUAUUAGGAGGAACACCAGUGGCGAAGGCGGCUUACUGGACUGUAACUGACGUUGAGGCUCGAAAGCGUGGGGAGCAAACAGGAUUAGAUACCUGGUA
This 433-nucleotide ribosomal RNA is filed under the name uncultured Lachnospiraceae bacterium. RNAcentral describes it as "partial 16S ribosomal RNA". It matches the Rfam family "Bacterial small subunit ribosomal RNA", at positions 341 to 792 of the family's 1533-position model. The record is from RNAcentral. Lineage: Bacteria; Bacillati; Bacillota; Clostridia; Lachnospirales; Lachnospiraceae.